CUUGCGCAAUGGGCGAAAGCCUGACGCAGCAACGCCGCGUGGGGGAUGAAGGCCUUCGGGUUGUAAACCCCUUUCAGGAGGGAAGAAAUUGACGGUACCUCCAAAAGAAGCCCCGGCCAACUACGUGCCAGCAGCCGCGGUAAUACGGUAGGGGGCGAGCGUUGUCCGGAAUCAUUGGGCGUAAAGAGCUCGUAGGCGGUUCAGUAAGUCGGCUGUGAAAAGUCCGAGGCUCAACCUCGGAACUGCAGUCGAAACUAUUGUGACUCGAGUCCGGUAGAGGAGAAUGGAAUUCCCGGUGUAGCGGUGAAAUGCGCAGAUAUCGGGAGGAACACCAGUAGCGAAGGCGGUUCUCUGGGCCGGUACUGACGCUGAGGAGCGAAAGCGUGGGGAGCAAACAGGAUUAGAUACCCUGGUAGUCCACGCUGUAAACUUUGGACACUAGGUGUGGCGGUCUGAUCAACGACUGCCGUGCCGAAGCUAACGCAUUAAGUGUCCCGCCUGGGGAGUACGGCCGCAAGGACUA
This 523-nucleotide ribosomal RNA is filed under the name uncultured Actinomycetes bacterium. Its description in RNAcentral is "bacterial SSU rRNA". It matches the Rfam family "Bacterial small subunit ribosomal RNA", at positions 363 to 897 of the family's 1533-position model. The record is from RNAcentral. Lineage: Bacteria; Bacillati; Actinomycetota; Actinomycetes.